Molecule: ribosomal RNA, 388 nt
Filed under: Phaeocystis sp.
Lineage: Eukaryota; Haptophyta; Phaeocystales; Phaeocystaceae
Description: partial small subunit ribosomal RNA
Rfam family: Eukaryotic small subunit ribosomal RNA
Source: RNAcentral
AUUCCAGCUCCAAUAGCGUAUAUUAAAGUUGUUGCAGUUAAAAAGCUCGUAGUUGGAUUUCGGGGCGGGCCGGGCGGUCUGCCGAUGGGUAUGCACUGUUCGGCGCGUCCUUCUUUCCGGAGACCGCGCCUACUCUAGCUGAGCGGGCGUGGGAGACGGAUCGUUUACUUUGAAAAAAUCAGAGUGUUUCAAGCAGGCAGCUCGCUCUUGCAUGGAUUAGCAUGGGAUAAUGAAAUAGGACUCUGGUGCUAUUUUGUUGGUUUCGAACACCGGAGUAAUGAUUAACAGGGACAGUCAGGGGCACUCGUAUUCCGUCGAGAGAGGUGAAAUUCUCAGACCAAUGGAAGACGAACCACUGCGAAAGCAUUUGCCAGGGAUGUUUUCAUCA